AGUGAACGCUGGCGGUAGGCCUAACACAUGCAAGUCGAACGGCAGCACAGUAAGAGCUUGCUCUUACGGGUGGCGAGUGGCGGACGGGUGAGGAAUACAUCGGAAUCUACUUUUUCGUGGGGGAUAACGUAGGGAAACUUACGCUAAUACCGCAUACGACCUACGGGUGAAAGCAGGGGAUCUUCGGACCUUGCGCGAUUGAAUGAGCCGAUGUCGGAUUAGCUAGUUGGCGGGGUAAAGGCCCACCAAGGCGACGAUCCGUAGCUGGUCUGAUAGGAUGAUGAGCCACACUGGAAGUGAGACACGGUCCAGGCUCCUACGGGAGGCAGCAGUGGGGAAUAUUGGACAAUGGGCGCAAGCCUGAUCCAGCCAUACCGAGUGGGUGAAGAAGGCCUUCGGGUUGUAAAGCCCUUUUGUUGGGAAAGAAAAGCAGCAGGUUAAUACCCCGCUGUUCUGACGGUACCCAAAGAAUAGGCACCGGCUAACUUCGUG
This 492-nucleotide ribosomal RNA is filed under the name uncultured bacterium. RNAcentral's name for it is "partial 16S ribosomal RNA". It matches the Rfam family "Bacterial small subunit ribosomal RNA", at positions 29 to 507 of the family's 1533-position model. The record is from RNAcentral.